AACGAACGCUGGCGGCAUGCCUAACACAUGCAAGUCGAACGAGACCUUCGGGUCUAGUGGCGCACGGGUGCGUAACGCGUGGGAACCUGCCCUUAGGUUCGGAAUAACUCCCCGAAAGGGGUGCUAAUACCGGAUAAUGUCUUCGGACCAAAGAUUUAUCGCCUUUGGAUGGGCCCGCGUUGGAUUAGCUAGUUGGUAGGGUAAAAGCCUACCAAGGCGACGAUCCAUAGCUGGUCUGAGAGGAUGAUCAGCCACACUGGGACUGAGACACGGCCCAGACUCCUACGGGAGGCAGCAGUGGGGAAUAGUGGACAAUGGGCGAAAGCCUGAUCCAGCAAUGCCGCGUGAGUUAUGAAGGCCUUAGGGUUGUAAAGCUCUUUUACCCGGGAUGAUAAUGACAGUACCGGGAGAAUAAGCGCCGGCUAACUCCGUG
Molecule: ribosomal RNA, 433 nt
Filed under: uncultured bacterium
Lineage: Bacteria
Description: partial 16S ribosomal RNA
Rfam family: Bacterial small subunit ribosomal RNA
Source: RNAcentral